RNAcentral lists this ribosomal RNA (245 nucleotides) under uncultured Bacteroidales bacterium. Its description in RNAcentral is "partial 16S ribosomal RNA". It matches the Rfam family "Bacterial small subunit ribosomal RNA", at positions 524 to 768 of the family's 1533-position model. Lineage: Bacteria; Pseudomonadati; Bacteroidota; Bacteroidia; Bacteroidales. The record is from RNAcentral.
UACGGAGGAUGCGAGCGUUAUCCGGAUUUAUUGGGUUUAAAGGGUGCGCAGGCGGUGCGUUAAGUCAGCGGUGAAAUGUCCCGGCUCAACCGGGGAGCUGCCGUUGAUACUGGCGCGCUGGAGUGCGGACGGCGCCGGCGGAAUGUGCAAUGUAGCGGUGAAAUGCAUAGAUAUUGCACAGAACACCGAUCGCGAAGGCAGCUGGCGAGGCCGUUACUGACGCUGAGGCACGAAGGCGUGGGGAU